This is a long non-coding RNA of Lemur catta (Ring-tailed lemur), 10504 nucleotides long. RefSeq lists it as uncharacterized. The record is from RefSeq and is a predicted model, not a curated record. The transcript has 6 exons. Lineage: Eukaryota; Metazoa; Chordata; Mammalia; Primates; Lemuridae.
AUUUUUUUUUGUAAAGAUGGGAUCUUGCUAUAUUGCCCAGGCUGAUCUUGAACUCCUGGCCUCAAGCCAUCCUCCCUGAGAUUCCAGAUUUGAGCCACUGUGGCCACCCUGCUCCGCCCUUCCGUGAUGCACCUCCUUGGUAAGGUUGGACUCACCAUCUCUGCUGCAAGGUGAGCCCACUCAGCAGGAGGAUGGUGAACAGCAGGAGGACACAGCCGGCCACUGUCAACAGAGAGGUCGGUCAGCAAAGGGGCCCUGGGGGUGACGUUGGGGCAGCAGGAGCCGGGGCCCCAGGGCAGGUAGAGACUGUCCCCAAGGGGGACGGGCAUUGUCUACUCCCCUUCUCAGAACAGGUCCCUCCCCAGAGGGUUUCUAGGAGGGCAGGGCAGGCGCUUCAGAGAGGUUCACAGGCCGGGCCUCAUUUAAGGAGGCCGAGAGCAAGGCCGGCGCCUGGGGGAAGAAGUGUUGAAACAUGGAGAUAGACAAUAAACACAUUAGCGUCUCUGGGAAGUGUUCAUGGUUUCUAGAUGCUGCCUGGCUGGGGUCCGGGGGCAGCUGUUUGUCUGUGUGUUCAGGCACAGGCAGCCUCAAAGCCUCCCCACCAGGAGACAGCCCAGUGUUUCUAGAAGCCUGUCCUCUGUCCGCCUGGCUACACGGUCCCCCCCCUCCGGAGAGAGGCAGUGGGGUGCUGGCCCUCUGGACCGGCUCGGGAGGAGCAGGUGGGGCUGGCCCGGCCUCCCUGUAACUGACCCGGGGGCUGGGGCGUGUGAGCGCCUGGAUUAGUCUCUGGGACUUGUCAACAUUCUGCAGGGUGACACGGGGUCCUUCCAACCAACCAGCCAGCCACCCUGCCCACGUCUCAGCACAGUGUGCAUUUUGUCCACAGGGAAAGCACCCACCUGCCACCUGGUACUGUGUCGUAAAUGUGAAUGUCCCCGUGGUCGCGGCGGCUUCCGUGCGCUCCUGAUAAUCUGGGCAAGGGAGAGGGGAGGCGCUCGGCUACCGUCACUGCGGGGCAGGAGGUGGCGGGAGCCAGGGCUUCUCCCCGGAUUGGGAGCUCGGAGGCUGGGGGGAGGAAGGGAGGCAGGUGUUCCCCCCCUCCGCCUGGAGACCCUCCUGGGUCCUGUGUUUCCUCUUUGGGGCGUGCAGGUCGCUGAGACCCUGUCCCUGCUCUGGAGGAGGGGGCUGCUGGGGGGCUUCCCCUCCCCGCACUGCGGCCACCUCUGCCCGUUGGCCCAGAGCUGCCUCUGGUGACUAUCGGGCAUCGGCGGCUGAGCUCCCGUACCUGUCGUUGUGAAGGGACAGGAUGUCUCCCUCCUAGGAAGGUCACUGGGGCUUGCCUGAGACGGCUCUUCACCUGGAGGGGAGAGUAAGUGAUGCUUGAGAGCUAAAGACAGGAGACAGAGCCUCACCCCUGCCCACCUGCCCUUGGCAGCGGCCCCGCAGCACUUGCUGAGGCCGAGGCACCACCCUGUUGUGGGCACAUCUCUGGGGACGCCACAUCACCCGGUUCCACCCCAGGGCCCCUGGGAAGUGCUGAAGUGACCUCAGCAGGGCGGGUGAGAGGGAAUCUAACCCCGAUCCUGGCUGUCCGUGCAACUCUGAGCAACGCUUGCUCCGCGGGCUUCCUACUCAGCCCUGCAACUCGGAGACGGGCCACAGCCACACAGAGGGAGUAGAGACACACAGAGGGACGGCUUCUCGGGGCCACAGGCUCCCCUCCGACCCUGCUCCACCCGGCCCCGAAAGCCUGUGACCAGGGAGUGCCAGGGUGCCCCGGCCGUGGGGUGCGCUGGCUGUUGGGGUGGCCUGAGGUAGGAGGAGUGAGGGACAGCAGAGGCGUCCCAGAGAGGAACACACGGGCAUGAGGAAUGCGGGUGAGCAAGGAACCAGGAACACUCCCUGGCUGACGCAAGGAACUUUCCAUUGUGGAAAUACCACUAAGAUUUCAGAGUGAAGGCAGCACCUCGGUGUAGGUGGCUGCGUGUGCAUGUGCGUGUGCGUGUGUGUGUGUGUGUGUGUGUGUGUGUGCGCGUGCGUGCACAUGCAUGUGCUCUUGAAUAAGUCCCUUCUCUGCACUUUUGCACUUAGGUCCAAGUUCAGACGGAGAGUUACACGGGGGAAGGAGCAGGGAGCGUUGCACAAUCGUGGCUAUACACGGCCACCCGCAGAGGGAAGAAACGCGUGGGUGGAUGCCGGACUUUCCCUUCGAACCAGGGCAGUCCCAGGGCAGUCUCGGUGGCGCGGGGAAGAGGUGGAGUCUCAGGACUCAGCCGGGAGAGGCAGCACGUGGGGUCCUGCGGAGCCCUGGGGAGGCCCUUCCUCCUCCUCCACCUCCAGCCCCCUCCCCCCACCCAGGGUACAGGAGGACCUCAGUUGUGGGGGCCCCAGAGUCAUCUGGUCUAUUGUUUUUAGCAUGAGAAAAAAAUGGAGGCCCAGGGAGAAGGAGUGGUUCGUCCAGGGUCACGUAGCAGGCGGGGCUGCCCUACCUGGAAGCGGACUGGGCUCCGUUUCAUCCAUGCACGUGAGCCCAGGCCGGGUCCACCUCGUCUUCCCGCCUGUCAUCUCACAGACGCUCCGGGCAGGGCCUCUCUGCAGAGCCCUGUACCCCUGGACGCACUGGUAGUGAACCGUCUGCCCCACCACGAAGAGGUACAUUCUCCUUGCAGCCUCAUGUUCCCACCGCGGAGGCUCCGUGCAGUGACCUAGGAGAGGGGAAGAGAAUUCCGGAGGCCGGCUGGAGAGGCCUCGCGCCAGUCCAGCCUGCCUCUUGCUAGAGCCUGGACCUCGGUUCUUAUCCUUUUGCGAAUUCAUUCUUUCAAUCAGCCAGCACGAGCGGGGGAUGUCUGUGUGCCAGGAACUCGGCUAGGCCCUGUAUGGAGGCACAAAGACCCGUCCCUCCUGCAGGCGGGGGGACAGUCGAUUAGGCGAGGAAGAUACGUGUCGCUGAGGAGCAGACGCUUGCAGGGGCGCACAGGGCUGGCCCCUGAGGACAGCGAGGUUUGGAUAAGUGGACGGAGGUGGGAAGGGUGGUCUUGGCUGAGGCAUUAGGACAGGCUCACGCCAAUCUGUGCCAGUGAAGCGUGAAGGUCACCUUGGAUCUCCACUGGAGAGGUGAGGGGCACAUUCUCUGGUGGCAGCUGGUGGCCAACUGGGGGCCAUGGCAGGAGGAUGGGGCAAGGGGCAGGGGAGAAGCCACAGGAGGGGCGGGAAGGGCUGAGGGUAUCUCAGAGAAACGGAGCGUGAUCUGCAGCUUGUCCCCACGAGCUCUGCCAAGACCUCUAAAGAUUUCCCAAGCCCAGUAACUUUCCGCUUGCCCGAGUGCAGCCCACGCCCGAUGGACUUCUGACCUCCGAGAUCGUGUCCUGUUCUGAUCCAACCUCAGAGUCCCCCACGCAGCCUGGACACAGAACGAACUGCUGUGUGACACCCAAACUAGCCAUAACUGUCUGGACCUGUCUGAAUGGGGUUUGCGUCUUUCAAAUGAAAACACCGGACUGAGACAGGCUGUGAGGCAGCCUCAGCCGGAACCCGCCGGCGACCUCCUGGGUCAGGACAACACACGCUGUUCUCUCGGAAACCUUCCGACAGUGGUGGAGGGCAGUGGAGAAAGUAGAACAAAACGAGCCACGACAUGGGUUUGGAAACACCGUUCUAGGACAGAGCUGGAGCCAAAGGGGCGAAAACAUCCUGUUGCAGUAAUGCCCCUGGAGCGGCUUUAAGAAAUGUAAUGGAAGCUGUGGAUCAGUGUAAGCCAGUCUGAAAUAAGUUAUCAGUAGAAAGAUGCCCCUCGACUCCAGGAGAUCAAGGUCUGAUCUCAUCCUAUCGUAGGAGCUUGGCCGUCUUUCAGCUUCACUCCUCGCUGCCUGGCCCUGUCGCUGGUGAGGCUCAGAGAUGGAAGGUGAAGAUUAGAACAACUCAGAGAGCACAGAAAGCGCCUAGACGGCGAGUGACUACGCUUUACAGAGGACGGAGCAGUGUCUCGGGGCCGCGGGUCACCUGGUGAGGAAAUGGUCUGGUUCUUGCCCUGCGGCGGUUCCUCUUCUGUGUCAGAUCCAACAGGAACUCCACGGACAUGCCUAAUGUCACAAGUUGUCCCCUCCCUCCUUGGGAAACCCACACCAGCUGUUUGGGCCCUACAGAAGGUGAGUGUUUUUGGUGCAAAAGAAAACACCAUAGGACACGUUGACUAUUCCUUUCAAUAGUAUCAUAGACUCUGAGAACUGGAAGAGACCUCCACGACCCUGUAGAUCAACCUCCACGUUUUACAGAUAAGGAAACUGAGGCUGGGAUUAUUCCACGAGUUCACAGUGAGUCUUGGACUCGAGCCAGGUCCUCUGCCUCCCAGUUCUGUUUUUACAUCUCACAGAAUCAUAAUCUUCAGGAGAGACUGUGCUUUUCACCCAUCCCUUGAAGGUUCUCGCUCACCGAGAGGCAGAGCUGUGUCUAAACUAUCCGGGUGAUGGAAGGUGUUGUGUGAUGUUGUGGUUUGGUUCAGAUGAUUAUCUUUGAAGAAGUCAGAGCGCUCAGGCCCUCGUCGGGGGUUAUUUGUGUAAUAAUAACAACGAUGUCUGAGACCUGCCUGCGUGCUGCUGCUUGGUGUAUAUCACCUUCAGUGACAGCUCUGAAAGGUAGAUAUUGUCACCCCUGCUUUACACAGCAAGAGACUGUGGUUCAGAGAGUUUAGGUAAGUUGUCCAAACCACACAGCUCCGGGCAGUAGGACAGGAGUUACAUGAAAGCCUACUAUUGCUGCCCUCCCUUCUGCCUUUUUAAAAGAUCUCACUUUUACUUUCAGGAAACUCUUUCAAAGACCAAACCUAAACAUGCAGGAAGAAGCAAGGAAGAAGAGGACAGAAGUGUGAGAAGUGUGUAGAAAAGAUGUGGACAUUGAGGCAGAGAGUGAUUUGUUAGGUUGCCUGAGAUCACUUAUCCAGGGCACACAGCUGGGGGACCCACAGUCCCGGAGCUGGGAUUCUCUCCCCGGCAGCCUGGCUUCGGAGCUCUUGGGGAAGACGAUGUUACAAAGAAAACGGAGGUACGACUACAGAUACAGUAGAAACCUAAAAGAGAACAACAGGCUACUAUGAAAAUGUUUGGACAAAUUUGAAAUGGGAAACUGUAAAACUAUAGAUGGAUAGGUAAAAAACUAGAUUCAAGAAGAACAAAUUGAUUCAAGAAGAAGAAUAGAACUUUAACCAUUAAAGAAAUUAAAUCAAUAAUUUAAAGAAAUCAACCCACAAAAGAACACAAAGUUUUACCGAAACACCAUCUAUUUUAUACAAACUAUUUCAGAGAAUAAUAAAAAAAAAAAGGGGCAAAUCUUCCUGAUUCCUUGUAUGGGGUUAGUUUCAUCUUUCUAUUGAACCUGUGCUGGACUGUAGAAAAAGGAAUUUUAUAUGGCAGUCUCACCUAUGAAAAUAGAUGUAAGAAUCCUGAAUAAAAUGUUUGCACCAGAUUCUAGCAAUGUGUUAAGAAAAAAACCCAUUCUGACCAAUUAGAAUUUAUCCCAGCAAUAACAAAUGGUUUAACAUUAGACAGUAUCUUGAUGUAAUUCACUACUUUUACUGUUUAAAGAGGGGGGAGGGAAUCAUAUGAUCAUUUUAAUAGAAGAAAAAGAAUAUCCAAUGAUGAUUAAAAUAAUACCCAUUAAUGACUAAAAGAAAAAAAAACUUUAAAGAUAGUAAAAAUAGCAAUGAACACCCUUAAUGAUUAAAAGGUAGACACUGAAAACUUACAGCAAACAACACUUACAGGAUACCUUAAAAGCCUUCUAUUUAAUGGCAGAAGUAUAUACGAUCCCUACUUUUAUUCAACACCAUAUUGAGCAUCCUAGUUAAUGCAAUGAAACAAGUAAAAGAAAUAAGAGGAAGAAGGAAUGGAUAAGAAGAAAUGAAAAUGUCAUUUGUAAAUAACGAUGUGUACUUAGAAAACCUAGGAAUCUACAAACAAUUAUCCAAAGGCUUGUUAUCCAUCAUACAUAAAGAACUCAUACCAGUCAAUAAGUAAAAAGCAAAAAACCCCAUAGAAAAACAGAAACAAAGGACAUGAACAAGCAGGCCACAGAGACCAAUAAACAGGUGGAAGCAUGCCCAAUAUCCCCUGUACUCACUGAAACUUAAGAUAGUAAUGAUACUUCAUUUCAUUUCAUCAGAUUGGCAAGGAUGUCAAGAUUUCUCGAUGCUAAGCGAUGGUGAGGAAUUUGGGAAAUCUCAUAAAUUGCUGAUGAAGGGUGUAAAUUAGCAUAGCUACUUCAAAGAGAAAUUGAAAAAUAUUGCAGUAAAAUUGAAGCUGUCUCUGUUCUAGGAUCAGCAAUGAAAUCUCAUAAAUUGCUGAUGAAGGGUGUAAAUUAGCAUAGCUACUUCAAAGAGAAAUCGAAAAAUAUUGCAGUAAAAUUGAAGCUGUCUCUGUUCUAGGAUCAGCAAUCUCACUUCUAGGUAUGUUCCCCAGAGAUAUUCUUGCACAUGUGCACGUGUUCAAGGCUAUUUCUUACAGCAUUGCUUGUAACAGGGAACAAUUAGAGACACUCUAACUGUCCAUCUAUCAUGAUACAAUGUAAUAAUAUACAGGAGUUAAAAAGAAUAAACAAGUACCAAGAAUAAAUCUCAACAACACAGUGUUGAGUGAAAAGAGCAAAUUGUGAAAGGAAGCAUAUUAUGUAUUUAUAUAUAUUUAAAAUUUAAAACACAAACCAGUAGUGUAUAUUGCAUUAGAAGACACAUCCCAAGUUUACGAGAGGGGAAGAAUGGAUUAGGUUGGAUCCAGAGGGAACGUCGCUGUAUCUGUAGCAUGUAUUAAAACUAAGCAAUAAAGGACACGAAGCCACCAGGGUAAACUGUAAACGCUUACUGAAUGCUGAUGGCAGGGACAUGACAGCCACAUUCAUCUUUGUGCUUUUUAACAAUUUAAAAAUAUUUACAGAGCAAAUGGCUUUUUCCUGCCAACCUGCCAAAUCCUCCGAUAACUAAUGCUUCCUAAGUCUUCUUCUGCAGGGAGUAAGGAGUUCAGGGUUUUUUCCUUCAGUUUGUGGCUACGGAAAUUGCACAGAGGAAGAAAACUCCCUCUCCGCCAACUUGGCGGCGCAUCCUCCGCGGGAAAGUCUGACUCCCAAUUUUAGUUAUCAAGUCAACUGUCUCCAUCUCAUCUCAGUCCUCAGCAGCUGAAUUCAACGACACGAUUAAGGCUACAGCAUCUUCCCAGAGAAGGCGGUAAGAAGAUGUUGAAAAUGGCAUAAUUACAGUGAUAUAAAAUUUAAUACUUGCACAGGACCAGAACAAAAAAAUGGGAUCGUGCAAAAUAUCCCUGGCAGUAUGGGUACUGUCCCUGCCACCUGCUCUUACCCGCUGUCUGGCUGGAGCAGCACCCAGGAGCUGUGCAGGAGCCCGGUCUGGCUGCGCAGCACCCUUUGAAUGGGCCGCAGUGGGCGCUGCGUGACGACUCGGUGUUUGGGCAGCGGCGAGGCUGACGCCAUAAUGUAUUCAUGCAAACAAAUAUCCACCCCAGCUCUUCCACUGAGCGAGCAUACAUGCCCAGGGAAACGUGGCAGAAGCACAAUGCCUGCCACUGAGGGGUGUAAGGGAAGUUGCUGUCAUCAAAGAAAAGCCACCCGAUUCCCCGGGGCAGCAGAGGGAGCCCAUCCCAAGGGAACCGGGCACAUUUCUGUAGUAAUCGGCACUGACCAUCUGUGAGUUGCUUGUUAUCUGACCCGCGCUUUUGGGGGCCUGGCUGGGUGAAACAGUCAAAGUUUCCACAACCGAGAACGAGUGACUCACGGGGUAGGACCCAUUUGGAGAACUGUGCCUCCCUCAACACUCGCUACCAGAAAAGUGGGAUUAGGGGGUUGGGGGAUCUAAUUAUUUUCUCUUGACUUCGAAGGGAAAGGGAGGCAGGACCCACAAAUGUCCCUCCACACAGCUGUCUCUAAACUGCCACGUUUUGGGAUCUCAAACGCUUAGGUAAAUGGAGCGUGGGGGGCUGGUUAUUUCCUCACCCCAGGACUCUUCUCAGUCACUGACAAGCUUCGGUGCACUAAAGAGUUAACCACAAGCUCACCACAGACUGUCACCCUGAUUAAAAUUAAAGGGUUAUCAGAUUUAGAAAAAGGGGAGGGGAGUGUAGAAAUAGAUUCUUUUUCAUUCUCUGAAAUCUAAAAGCAGCUCUCCCUCAAAUUUUUGAAACCAAUUUCUUGGGACAGAGUCCUAUUUUUAGCAGAAAUACGCUCAACUGGUGAAUCCCACCCACCGUCUUCUGCAAGGAGAGAGAGACUUCUGAGAAAUUGGGCCAUGGAGCCGAGGAGAUUUUCAACUCGACGGAAUUUCCCCUGAGAUUUUUAAAGAAAGACCAGAUAAGUAAGUACAACGCCAAGCAGAAACUCAAGACCAGAAGGGAAAUAGGAAAGAAGGAAAGAGAAAAAGUCAUCGGAAAGGAUGGCGACCCUGGGGAGCAAUGACGCGAAGUGGGCGCCAGGAGGGGCUGGGCACGUUGGCAGCAGCCCUAACUGUGUCCAGCGCGUUAAGCCACGUGUCCAGACCUGCGCCCCUGCCCGGGACCCCCAGUGGCCGGCUCUGCCCUAUCCUCACCCGCACCCACAGUGCCUCUUGUACUCCUUUUCCUUCCCACCCUCGAGAAUUCACACUCAGCUUUAAGCAAGAUGCGAGUUGUACCCACUGUGCAUUUUUGACAGGGCUCAAACCCUUCCCUGGAGAAUCCAAAUGCGAACCGCGGGCUGCCAGCCACCACGAGCGGGACACGUUCACUGAGGUUCCGGGGUUCUGGGUGCUUGGGCUGCUGCCCUGCUCGGCCCGUCCACGGAGAUCUUGCACAGGGACGGGGUUUUGGCACCAUCUAACCUGUAAUCUUAACAUAACCUUCUCCCUGCCUUUCCCUGCUUAACAUAAGGGGUCACUGGGCCGUGUGGACACAACUGACCCAAGGAACAGCUCCCGCACUGGCCGCAUUUCCAGCCCUGCCUGGUGCCGUGCGCAGCCCUGACGCGGUGGAGGCCAGGAGGGAGGCCUGUGCCACGCCAAGCACGCAGGACGAGUGUGAGGGAAAUGAGAGGCUGGCGAAGGCUGGUGUGUCACCCCAGGGGUGUCUCAAGCUACAGCACCCGAGGGAAGCCCAGGAGUCAGCCCAAGGGAGAGUAACUCGGGGAUGGCUCAAAGAGUGGCUUAAAAAGAGAGAUCGAGGCCUUGCCUAAGAAGCCCAGGCGGUUCUGAACAGAGAUGUCACUACCACAACGGCCGGAAGCAGAUGCCACACCGGUGCUCAGCUGGGUUGCAGGCUCUGCCUGGCGUCAGCGCUGGGGAAGCCACCCAGCCCUGCCCGCAGCCUGCAAGAUGUCACGCACGCCGCCCGGCCUCAGCCCCAAAACUCCCGGGAAACUCUCGGAGCGCCGGGGCAGGAAGAGGCUGACAUCAGCUUACACUCUGGGGACUUCAAACAAAACUUUCAGAAAUGAGUCCUAUGCCCUUUACUUGGUAACACGAUAAACGGAUCUUUUUCUGAGAAGAUGAGCCAAUUUGCUUCAACGGGCUCAUUUUCAUGGGGAAAAAAAUACGUACAGAUACGAAUUUUUUUUUUUUUAAAGAAGCACAACUGCUUAGCUUUAGAAAAGACCAUAAUAAUGUAAACUGGACGGAUGAGGUUUCUUCCUCCCUCCCUGCCUUCCUUCCUUUCUUGGGAAGGUCGUGGACGUCUAGGAUUGGGGAAUGGUUCCCACGCAGCGGGGCAGCCCUGGUAUAAAGGGUGCGUCUAAGAUACUUGGGGGCAGGAGGCGCGAUCAAACCACUUGUUAUUAAAGGAAUUUAAAUACUCCCACUUGAAAUGCUCCCGUUUUCUCUGUAAAGGAAUUUCUUGAGCAAGACAAAACGUCCCAUCUUCUGUGUAUAUUAUUCUAAAUUCAAAAUUAGUGGUGUCUGAUUUUAAUAAUUGUCACAGUUAAGGAUGACAAAACAAUGCUCUUCACUCUGCUUUCUGCUCCAGUUGUUGCUGUAAACGAGAGGCGGUGCCUGACCUCACAUGUGCCGGGUCGUGUGGGAACAACGAACGUCCAUCUGUGUGUUCAACGGACUCUUUCUUUAGACGUGUGUCUCAGCACCAAGCUUUGUCCCAGUUGCCCAGCAGGAGUGCUGGGGGAAGAGGGUGCUACGGAAGAGGAAAGUCACAGGAGAAUAAAAGAAAAUUUCUUGAGGAAUCUACUCGUCGGUGUCCAGUUAACCCCCAAAUAUCAUGCCACUUUAUCCAUCCAGACCUAACUGUCAAGGCCUGUGAGAGAGAAGAGAACCCAACAGCAUCCCAAGCCGUCUAUACCGAUUGGGGCACCGAGGCCUGACAUGAGGCCCCUGUAGGUCAGGGCAAGAGUGGAACCCAAAAUCCAGCUCCCUUCUUGGAACUGUCUACUUGGGUGACCCUCUGGUUCUUUGGCUGGGGAGAGCAGAAUUCCAAGAAUUCCAGAGGCACCCAUGGACUCUUACCUGCCUUGCUGCCAGGUACCAUGAUGAAUG